Molecule: ribosomal RNA, 468 nt
Filed under: uncultured bacterium
Lineage: Bacteria
Description: partial 16S ribosomal RNA
Rfam family: Bacterial small subunit ribosomal RNA
Source: RNAcentral
GACGAACGCUGGCGGCGUGCUUAGCACAUGCAAGUCGAACGGAAAGGCCCUGCUUUUGUGGGGUGCUCGAGUGGCGAACGGGUGAGUAACACGUGAGUAACCUGCCCUUGACUUUGGGAUAACUUCAGGAAACUGGGGCUAAUACCGGAUAGGAGCUCCUGCUGCAUGGGGGGGGUUGGAAAGUUUCGGCGGUUGGGGAUGGACUCGCGGCUUAUCAGCUUGUUGGUGGGGUAGUGGCUUACCAAGGCUUUGACGGGUAGCCGGCCUGAGAGGGUGACCGGCCACAUUGGGACUGAGAUACGGCCCAGACUCCUACGGGAGGCAGCAGUGGGGAAUAUUGCACAAUGGGCGGAAGCCUGAUGCAGCAACGCCGCGUGCGGGAUGACGGCCUUCGGGUUGUAAACCGCUUUCGCCUGUGACGAAGCGUGAGUGACGGUAAUGGGUAAAGAAGCACCGGCUAACUACGUG